RNAcentral lists this transfer RNA (73 nucleotides) under Streptomyces griseocarneus. Its description in RNAcentral is "tRNA-Glu". It matches the Rfam family "tRNA". Rfam says of the family: Transfer RNA (tRNA) molecules are approximately 80 nucleotides in length. Their secondary structure includes four short double-helical elements and three loops (D, anti-codon, and T loops). The record is from RNAcentral. Lineage: Bacteria; Bacillati; Actinomycetota; Actinomycetes; Kitasatosporales; Streptomycetaceae.
GCCCCCGUUGUGUCGCGGCCUAGCACGCCGCCCUCUCACGUCGGUAGCUCCGUUUCGAAUCCGGUCGGGGGUA